UCUAAAGCUAAUGGAUUGGAAUUCUAUUCAGUCAUUGCAUAAAAUGUGCUCACUCUCCCAGAAAGCCUUAUAGUAAAUAAAAUUCUAAAUUAUACAGAUCAAUGCCUAGUGAUCUGUUAAGACAGAUGAUUAAAAUCGCAUUAAUUAACAUUGAAAACAUCUUAUAAGGCAAUUGUCCUUGCCUAUGCCAGCCAUCAUGGAAGGCAUCUGCUCUGGAAGGGGAUUCCCUAAGCGAAGGGAGAAGGGUGCUUUGCUCUGAAGAUGGGGAUUAGUUUAUGUGUUAUUUGGUGCUAUGGUGAGUUUGUAGCAUGUACUGAAGUGGCCACAGUUAUGCAGGGGUAAUGAGAGAUUAUUAAGAGUAAGGGAGAAAGUAGCUGGGAGCAAGAGAAAUGGCAGUUACAUUGUAAGGUCCAGAAAAACUCCUUAAGAAGUUAGUUACUCCCUGGAAUUUGUAAUAGAAAUCACCUUGCCGAGAAUUUUCUCUAGAGGUGAAGCAAAGCUGAUGUGCACCCCCAUUCUACUGAACUCAUAACUCUCACGAUAUACUUUGUACCUUUGGGGAAAAAAGGAAAUCGGAGUCCUAGGUUAGUUUACUUUUUGUACUUCUGGGUGCCAGAGCUUUCAUGGGAGAUGUAGUUAGGGCAUUUGUGGUGAACUUUUUUGGAGGGAGAAGGACGGAGGGCUUUGUGUGAUGAGUCACAAGCAUGCCUUAAAUAGUGAUGUGUCACUGCUUGUUCUCAAAUGGACCAUCUGGAUAACACCCUCAUACUUAUUCCUUUUUACCAGCAUGAGGGUGCUCUGUGGAAACUGUGUUCUCACUAGAGUAGAAAACCAGGUAACUUUGUCAACACAGAAGUCUAUUUUCUCCCUUCUUCCUGCAACCCUGUGGAGUCAUGGGAAGUGCAGAGAAAAAAUGAACAUCUCUGAAUACUGGAUUAAACCAGGAGACUGUAGUGCUGCUGUUUUUGAUAACUAGAAGAAGGGGCCAUGUUAUUCAGUCAUGUUGCAACUUCUGGUUGGAAUGUGCCGACCUUGCCUGUGUCUGUUGAGUCUUAUGAAGUAUCUCCAGGGAUUUUUAAGGCCGACAAGAAAAUGCUCUGAAGGUAGAUGAAAGGGAAGUCUGUGCAGCGAGUCCCAGCACAAGCCAGAGAAAAUUUUCUGAAUCUAAAGCAAUCUGCUUUGUUGCAUCUGGACAAAGCUCUGAGAGGAAGGAGAGGCAUGUGCUGCCUUCCAAAUGGACAGGAGCGUCGUGUCAGACUCUUGCUGGCAGGUGCUCCUCAUUGGUAGUGCUCCUCCCCAGCCAUGAGAAAACAGAUGGAUUGUAUAGUCUUCUGAACUGGAACUCUUCACUGUUACCUGUCUCUUGCACAAAGACCUUCAUUUUUAGGAGAUUUUGUGUUUCAUCUAGAAAUCAAUUGUCAGGAUAUUGUACUUGGAAAUAUUUGAUCUAUAUCCUUUGAAAAUUUAAAGGUAGAGGAUUGACUGGCAAGAUUCUGAGAAGAACCGUAUAAGCUUUAUGAGUAAAACAAAAUGCCUUGUUUGAGUUCAGUAAACACAGACUGAGUCUCUUCAGUGCCAGUUAAUGAGCCUACCUAGAUGAAGAUGAUCCUGUCAUGCUGGAUCCUUCAGUCCAGUCCAGUAUAAAAAGUAUAUAAUGGGGGCACAUACAGUGUGUCCCUGGCAGGCAGGGGUGAAUGUAUCUAAAGAAGAUUGGGAAAGUGUCUAGUAGGGUGGAUGCCAUUGCUGUUGUUCACCACGUGCAGAAGAGGGGGAGGGACAUCACAAGCAGAGGGAUGGAUGUACACAAAAGACAGUGGAUUGUGUGCACAUGACCUGUGCUGGACCAGUAGGGAGGUUUGGAUGGCUAGAGCUUCUUUUUUUUUUUUUUUAAAUUUUUUUUUUUCAACGUUUAUUUAUUUUUGGGACAGAGAGAGACAGAGCAUGAACGGGGGAGGGGCAGAGAGAGAGGGAGACACAGAAUCGGAAACAGGCUCCAGGCUCUGAGCCAUCAGCCCAGAGCCCGACGCGGGGCUCGAACUCCCGGACCGCGAGAUCGUGACCUGGCUGAAGUCGGACGCCUAACCGACUGCGCCACCCAGGCGCCCCGGCUAGAGCUUCUUUAAAAAAAUUUUUUUAGUGUUUAUUUUUGAGAGAGAGAGGGAGAGAGAGGGAGCGAGCGAGCAGGGGAGGGGCAGAGAGAGAUGGAGACACAGAAUCCGAAGCAGGCUCCAGGCUCUGAGCUGUUAGCACAGAGCCCAAGUUUGGGGGCGGGGUAGGGGGGAUGGGGACUCGAACUCACGAACCGUGAGAUCAUGACCUGAGCCAAAGUCACACACUUAAUUGAGCAAGCCAGGCACCCCAAGUGGCUAGAGCUUUAUGGUGGAUGGGGCCUAAGUGAGUCUAAGAUCCACUGGGGUUAGUUGGAGAUGGGAGGUUGAGUGUGUGGAGAUAGGUUGGUUGUCACUAGGGCGUUCCUAAACUGGAAGCAGGAGGGGGUUGAGACAUAGGAGGCAACUGCUACCUGAAAAUAGCUUGUAUGUUGCAUGAGCAAUAUAUGUAAGAUGUCAACAAAUCACAAUUUA
This is a long non-coding RNA of Leopardus geoffroyi (Geoffroy's cat), 2582 nucleotides long. RefSeq lists it as uncharacterized. Lineage: Eukaryota; Metazoa; Chordata; Mammalia; Carnivora; Felidae. The record is from RefSeq and is a predicted model, not a curated record. The transcript is spliced from 2 exons.